UACGAAGGGUGCAAGCGUUACUCGGAAUUACUGGGCGUAAAGGGUGCGUAGGUGGUCGUUUAAGUCCGUUGUGAAAUCCCUGGGCUCAACCUGGGAAUGGCAGUGGAUACUGGACGGCUAGAAUGCGGUAGAGGGUAGUGGAAUUCCCGGUGUAGCAGUGAAAUGCGUAGAUAUCGUAAGGAAGACCAGUGGCGAAGGCGAAUCUCUGGACAGUUACUGACACUGAGGCACGAAGGCCAGGGGAGCAAACGGG
This 253-nucleotide ribosomal RNA is filed under the name uncultured bacterium. RNAcentral describes it as "partial 16S ribosomal RNA". It matches the Rfam family "Bacterial small subunit ribosomal RNA", at positions 524 to 776 of the family's 1533-position model. The record is from RNAcentral.